Molecule: ribosomal RNA, 484 nt
Filed under: uncultured bacterium
Lineage: Bacteria
Description: partial 16S ribosomal RNA
Rfam family: Bacterial small subunit ribosomal RNA
Source: RNAcentral
AUUGAACGCUGGCGGCAGGCCUAACACAUGCAAGUCGAGCGGUUGAAGCGAGCUUGCUCCUGGGUUCAGCGGCUGACGGGUGGGUAAUUCCUAGGAAUCUGCCUGGUAGUGGGGUUUAACGUCCCGACACGGGCGCUAAUCUCGCACACGUUCUGCGCUAGACAUUGGGUGAUCUUCGGACCUCACGCUUUCACUUGUGCCUAGGUCGGUUUCGCUAUUUGGUGGUGUUAGGGCCUACCUAGCCGACGAUCCGUAACUGGUCUGAGAGGCUGAUCAGUCACACUGGAAAUGAGACACGGUCCAGACUCCUAAGGGAGGCAGCAGUGGGGAAUAUUGGACAAUGGGCGAAAGCCUGAUCCAGCAAUGACGCGUGUGGGAAGAAGGACUUAGGAUUGUAAAGCACAUUAAGUUGGGAGGAAGGGCAGUGAGGUAAUACCUUGCUGUGUUGACGUUACCAACAGAAUAAGCACCGGCUAACUUCGUG